UACGAAGGGGGCUAGCGUUGCUCGGAAUCACUGGGCGUAAAGGGUGCGUAGGCGGGUCUUUAAGUCAGGGGUGAAAUCCCAGAGCUCAACUCUGGAACUGCCUUUGAUACUGUCGAUCUGGAGUACGGAAGAGGUGAGUGGAAUUCCGAGUGUAGAGGUGAAAUUCGUAGAUAUUCGGAGGAACACCAGUGGCGAAGGCGGCUCACUGGUCCAUUACUGACGCUGAGGUGCGAAAGCGUGGGGGAGCAAACAGG
RNAcentral lists this ribosomal RNA (254 nucleotides) under uncultured bacterium. Its description in RNAcentral is "partial 16S ribosomal RNA". It matches the Rfam family "Bacterial small subunit ribosomal RNA", at positions 524 to 776 of the family's 1533-position model. The record is from RNAcentral.